Molecule: ribosomal RNA, 253 nt
Filed under: uncultured bacterium
Lineage: Bacteria
Description: partial 16S ribosomal RNA
Rfam family: Bacterial small subunit ribosomal RNA
Source: RNAcentral
UACGUAGGGUGCAAGCGUUGUCCGGAAUUAUUGGGCGUAAAGAGCUCGUAGGCGGUCUGUUGCGUCGGCUGUGAAAACCCGGGGCUCAACCCCGGGCCUGCAGCCGAUACGGGCAGACUAGAGUUCGGCAGGGGAGACUGGAAUUCCUGGUGUAGCGGUGAAAUGCGCAGAUAUCAGGAGGAACACCUAUGGCGAAGGCAGCUCGCUGGGACGGUACUGACGCUGAGGCGCGAAAGCGUGGGGAGCGAACAGG